AGCUCCAAUAGCGUAUAUUUUAGUUGUUGCAGUUAAAAAGCUCGUAGUUGAAUUUCUGGUGAGCGAGAGCGGUCCGAUCAAUGAUUGGUGCUUGUUUUCGCUGGCCAUCCUUGGGUUUAGCCAGUCUGGCAUUAAGUUGUCGGGCUGGGGAUGCCCAUCGUUUACUGUGAAAAAAUUAGAGUGUUCAAAGCAGACUUAUGUCGUUGAAUAUAUUAGCAUGGAAUAAUAAGAUAGGACUACAGUGCUAUUUUGUUGGUUUGCGCACCGUGGUAAUGAUGAAUAGGGACAGUUGUGGGUAUUCGUAUUCACUUGUAAGAGGUGAAAUUCUUAGAUUAAGGGAAGACGAACUACUGCGAAAGCAUUUACCAAGGAUGUUUUCA
Molecule: ribosomal RNA, 380 nt
Filed under: uncultured marine Chaetocerotaceae
Lineage: Eukaryota; Bacillariophyta; Thalassiosirophyceae; Chaetocerotales; Chaetocerotaceae
Description: SSU rRNA
Rfam family: Eukaryotic small subunit ribosomal RNA
Source: RNAcentral